GUAAGGUAACUGCUUACCAAGGCAACGAUCAGUAGCCGACCUGAGAGGGCGACCGGCCACAUUGGGACUGAGACACGGCCCAAACUCCUACGGGAGGCAGCAGUCGGGAAUAUUGCGCAAUGGAGGAAACUCUGACGCAGUGACGCCGCGUAUGGGAAGAAGUAUUUCGGUAUGUAAAGCUCUAUCAGCAGGGAAGAAACUGACGGUACCUGACUAAGAAGCACCGGCUAAAUAC
RNAcentral lists this ribosomal RNA (235 nucleotides) under uncultured bacterium. RNAcentral describes it as "partial 16S ribosomal RNA". It matches the Rfam family "Bacterial small subunit ribosomal RNA", at positions 252 to 504 of the family's 1533-position model. The record is from RNAcentral.